This 424-nucleotide unclassified non-coding RNA is filed under the name Phaeosphaeriaceae sp. OTU_081. RNAcentral's name for it is "sequence contains ITS1, 5.8S rRNA gene and ITS2". The stretch from base 114 to 267 matches the Rfam family "5.8S ribosomal RNA". Lineage: Eukaryota; Fungi; Ascomycota; Dothideomycetes; Pleosporales; Phaeosphaeriaceae. The record is from RNAcentral.
UUAACCCUUGACUUUUUGCGCACUUGUGUUUCCUCGGCAGGCUUGCCUGCCGGCUGGACAAUCCAAUAACCUUUUUAAUUUUCAAUCAGCGUCUGAAUUAUUUUAAUAAUUACAACUUUCAACAACGGAUCUCUUGGUUCUGGCAUCGAUGAAGAACGCAGCGAAAUGCGAUAAGUAGUGUGAAUUGCAGAAUUCAGUGAAUCAUCGAAUCUUUGAACGCACAUUGCGCCCCUUGGUAUUCCAUGGGGCAUGCCUGUUCGAGCGUCAUUUGUACUCUCAAGCCUUGCUUGGUGUUGGGUGUUUGUCUCUGCCUUGCUUAGACUCGCCUUAAAUAUAUUGGCAGCCGGUACACUGGUUUGAAGCGCAGCACAAUUGCAUUUCAGGCUCUUAGUAUUAGCAUCCACAAAGAUUAUUAACACUUUGA